CUCGGUUAAACAUCGCAGCAGGCAUUACAAUACCAGAGGUAACGAAUCAAUUAAAUCCAUUUUCCCCUCGGCGUCUCCAAAGCUGCGUGCCUAGUGUUGCUGUGUAGUUUAGAACCGGAGCAGUAGGACCCAGGGGCCUCCGCAGCCACCAAUAGAAGCGCACACUUGGACCUAUUUGUAUGCAAUGCCUUCUGCUCUGCGCAUUAAUAGUAAUACAGAUAACGGGUUUGAAAGAAUUCUCUACCGAAGAAGGAUUGAAUUUUUCCAGGGUGCUGAUACCGAGAAGAAACCCGACUUCACUCUCUCCCCAUUUUCCCACUCUUAGGUUGAAAAGUCUCAGACACCUUUCGCUUGGUUUAAACUCGGAAAGGUCUCAGUGCACAGCAAAGUUGGAGGGGCUGCGUCUGCACUACGGCGCCGCUAGAUCGCUGAAAACAGGCUUAUCCAAGGAGGGAAGAGAAUGAUCACAGCAACACACUCUAAAAGCAGGGACAUUCUGGAGGUGACUACUUCACUUGCUGUAUACUUCGAUGGUUGUUAAUUCCAGGAAUGGCCAGCCAAAGAGGUUUGCUAAACAACUGUUGUGUUUCUCUAAUUUUCUCUCAUUCUUGUGUUCUCUCACUCUCUUUUCUCCUUACCACUCUACACUUCUCCCUCUCAACUUGUGUCAAGACAGACCAGCUUCAUAUUUAACUUCUGUUCGACCAAACCCAUGUUCAGGCAUUUUUUAUUCUAUUUUUGUGAUCAGUCUAAGAUAAAUGUAACUCAUCAGAGGCAACACUUAUUAGAACAGUGAUGUUAUUGAUGUGUACUUCCAUCUUACAUUUCUUGAGUGAUGAUAUUGUUCAGAAAGAUGUGUCUGUAACUGAAUUCACUUUAGCUAGGAUGACCAGACAUCAUGCGUCCCACUAAUUUUCAUCAGAAUGAUGAAAUGAACAAUAUGAUUGAAGGUCAAGUGGGCCUAGAAUUCAUCUGCCUGAGCUGGUGUAAGCACAGCAUUUUGAAAAUUGCUUUUGUUUGAAAAUUGCUUUCUUUCUGUCUUGGUGUACAUGAGUACACUUUUAAGGAAUCAUCUUCUUGAAUUUGAACAUUCAUUUGGAAAAAUAAUGCAUGAUGUAGACAGUUUUAAUUUUAGCCAUAAAAUAAGAAAAAAAUAAAAUUCGGAUAGACUGUAUUUCAUUACUUUUCAUUAGAUCAUCUUUUUAAAAUGUCUUUAUUAUUUAA
Molecule: long non-coding RNA, 1224 nt
Filed under: Macaca mulatta (Rhesus monkey)
Lineage: Eukaryota; Metazoa; Chordata; Mammalia; Primates; Cercopithecidae
Description: lncRNA (ENSMMUG00000051022.1)
Source: RNAcentral